Molecule: ribosomal RNA, 177 nt
Filed under: uncultured bacterium
Lineage: Bacteria
Also listed under: 1 other name
Description: partial 16S ribosomal RNA
Rfam family: Bacterial small subunit ribosomal RNA
Source: RNAcentral
ACUCCUACGGGAGGCAGCAGUGGGGAAUAUUGCACAAUGGGCGCAAGCCUGAUGCAGCGACGCCGCGUGAGGGAUGACGGCCUUCGGGUUGUAAACCUCUUUCAGCACCGACGAAGCGCAAGUGACGGUAGGUGCAGAAGAAGGACCGGCCAACUACGUGCCAGCAGCCGCGGUAAU